Molecule: long non-coding RNA, 8859 nt
Filed under: Equus caballus (horse)
Lineage: Eukaryota; Metazoa; Chordata; Mammalia; Perissodactyla; Equidae
Description: lncRNA (ENSECAG00000044826.1)
Source: RNAcentral
CUUGUCAAAAAAAUUGGCGUUUUUGUUUCCAUGAAACAUCUACUCCUUGGAUAGCCCAGAGUGUGGAAGUCGAUGCAAAGCGCUAAGCCAUUUAAAAUCUAAAUCAGACUUUAAUAAGGGAAUGUCAUGUUUCAUUUAAAAGCUUCUCUUCACCUCUUUUCUUAUGCUGUCAAGUGAAAGAAAAGCUGGCUUUAUAAUUACAUGGCUGCCUCUGCGUUAGAUUCUAUGUGAGAUCUCACGUUAUUUUUCCACACCUUUCCCUCUCUCAAGCCCUAUCCCACCUCCUUCCAUGUCUGCUAUCUAAUCCCCCCUCCCCAGCUUUCUUCCUUCUGCUUCCUGCUUCUUAAUGAGCUGACAGAAUGAUGGAGCUCUGUUGAUUAAGCUGCUGAAUGGCGGUGGCCCUUAUUAAUUUAGGAAUGACGAGCAAAAAAUAAAAUAAAUGACUAGUGUGAAAUGUUUCUCACUGCGGAUCAUCAUCGUAGCCCUACUGGGUAGAAGAUUAGGUGAUUUUGGUUUCCACUGCACAGCAGAGCGUGAAAUCAGAUGGAAUUUAACUUUGACAGAUAUUUACUCUCUCUUUAGUAAUAAAGAAUUAGUUUUGUAGGGUUUUUAUUUGACCCUUCUUAUAUUCCCUGAAUUCUACGUUUCCUCUGGGGUCAGUUUUUCUCUGUUUAGCUUUCUUCUUCAUACUGUAGGCUUUUCUCAAAUAUUUGGGCAUUCUCAGUUGUCUGGCUAUUCUUAAGAAUGAGACAGGAGAAAGACUGACUAGACACUCUAAGCACAGGAGUGGAACUUGCUGACCGGCAGGCUUCAAUUUAGGGUAAACAGCCAGAGAUCUGUUUGUUGUGCUGUGGCCCCUCAAAUGCCAGAAUGUAGAUGGCUUCGUGCUGGGGUACCAGUGAUGACUCUAGAUGCCCAAGUGUUCUCAGAAAGAUCCUUCAGUGUCUUUUAAAAAGUCCCUGUUGGUCAUUUUUUGGUUGGCUGCUUGGUUUUGCUCUUUUCUGUGGUCAAACUACCUAGUUGCCAGGGUUCUUGGCACCAGAGUUGAGGAGGUGUGUGGAGGACGACCAUUUCAUACACAGACCUUCACUGUCUUCUGUCUCCCCUUCAUCCAGGAACUUCUCUGAGUCCCCGACCUCUGCAAGGUUCUACCACAUAGGGAGGCACCCUCAUCUCCUGCGAGACUCUUCAAGCAUAUCCUGAGCUAUAGCUUCUUCUACUCAGUGCUCUUCCAUAUACUCUGUCUUCCAGAAAUUCAUUGAAAUCACUUAUCCUCUUGUUCUCUAAACCCUUUUGGUAUGUACCUUUUAUAUCCCAUUACUAUAAGUAUAAGUGAGUCUUAGAAGGGAUAGGAAAUAAAUAUGUAUGCUCAAAUCCCCAACAUGAACCAGUAGCAAGGGUAGGUAUUCUUCCCAUUUUACACAUGGAAAACAGAGGCUUAUGUGAUUAAGUGACUUGCCUAAGAUCACGUAGCUAGAAAGGGAAGGGCCAGGAUUAAACUUGUAUUCUUUUGACUCUGCUAAACUACUUCUUUUUGUCCAAACCAUGGCUCAGCUGGUAUGACCUGGAAAAAAAAGAAUUUACAUAAUACUAUGAGUUUUAAAUAUGCUGUCACUUGUGCAUAAAAAUGAUCAGAAACUGCCCAGACUAAAAACUGUGCAACAUCAUUUUACAAGUUGCAUACCUAGAUACAAUGAGAAAUCAUCAAAGUCAUAAAACAGCAAUUUUAUAUUGGGUGGGUCAGGUUGGAGUGGACCAGAACUGAGGAGAGAAAAUUGGUAGGAAAGGCUGGAUUAUCAUUUGGGUAACGGUGGCAAGGGCUUGGCACACUGAAUGCUCUCAGCUCUAUCAAAUCUACUUUAGAAGUCACAAUUGGGGAGCAAUUGCCCCAAAGAGGUGGUGCAGACUCCAGAGCAGUGGCAUGGAUGGAAGAGACUUGUUGGGAAGACAGGGCACCCCAUCCACUUGGAAGCCACUCUCUCAUAUACAUUUAAUAAUUGUUAAGUGACUGCCAUGUACAGACACUGCAAUAGACUCUAGAGACACUUUCACCUUCAGCCAGGGUGAUAUCUGCAAAAGAUGAAGAUCUCUUUGUUUCUGGAGACUUCUAGAAAUCAAAACCCUACAAUAUCUCAUAGGAACACAUCACAUUCAUAAUGGUUUAAGAUUUAAAGUAUUAGAAUUGUUCUAGUUCAACUGCAAAGGUAGUUUUGAGGGCUUUUGAAUAGCUAGUCAUUUAUUCCACAAAUCUUUAUUGAGCUUCUAGUUAAUGGCAGCCACUGGAGCUAGGACCUAGGGACACAAUGGUGAAGAAUACGAGAUUAUUUCUAAUGUUUACCACUUAGCCACCAAAGACAAUGCUGAGGCACCUAGUUUUCUCUUUCUCAGAGGCAGAGGCCAAGUUAUCUUCUAAGUAUGAAAUGUAGAGAUUGACUCUUGUUAGGGCCACAGAAAACUGGGGAGGUGGAUGGUGAACAUGCUAUUAGCUGGUAUUAGUUCACUGUGAUAUUAAUUUAGAUGCAUGAUAUCCUGGCGAAGAACAGAUCUUAACAGAAGAUCUUUCUGCUCACAGUGUUUUUCUCGAAUUUUCACCUUUCCUGUGGCUGUUUUGGUCUCAUUCUGACACUGUAGGAAAAUUCACGUGAAAUCUGGAACAAGUGAGCAUGUACCCUCUGUCCUCAAAGGUUGGGACACAAGCCUGUGAACUUGGAAAGAGAACAAAGCUUUCUAGUAUGAUAAACAAAGAAAAUGGAGAUUAAAAAGUCUGGUUUCCUCUUUUUUGCAUCAGCACAUACCAGCUGUCAGAUACCUCUGAAUAAUCUAUUUCUUCUGUUCCUGAAAGGUAGAUAUUAUUAUUACAGCAUUUCCAGAAGGAAGUAUAUUUUAAUUUUCAAUAAAAAUGGCCACAAAUGAAGUGGUAAUGCAAAGAACAGAAGAGAAACUUUUACAGCUAUAGUAUUUGCAUUUGUGACUUUUUCCGUCUAAUUCCACUUUCUCCACUGAUCCCUGAAACCUCGCCAGCAGGCUGACACCCUGAUAAACUCCAAAAGGAAGAAGGAAAACAGUCUGAAAGGCAGGGAGGGUGUGGUCGCUAGAGGGGUAUGGUGAACAAGAAGAAAAGUGCAGCUACUCCAGUGCAUGCAGAUAAGGCGUGAGGUUCAAGGGCUGAAAGGAAGCACACAGAUUGCAGCGUGCCCACUUGGUACUGGUGACAGACUUCCAACGGAGGAGCCCCACCUUCGGGUUCUUUUGUUUAGGCCUGACUUCCAAACAAAGCAAGCUGGACGACCAGUCCUAACAUCAAGCAGCAGAAAGCUUCCUUCCUUUGGAAAAUCUAGUAAAGGCAUCUCUCUAAGCCCUCUUAUUGCAAAAACGGCCUGCUUUCUCCUGAAGUUUCUGCUGUUAGAGAAGACUUGCGAAGGCUGUGAUAGCAGAGUGCAAAGAGGUAGGCAUUUAGGAUAAAAACAUGAGUGCACGUCCAUCCAACCCCUCAGGGCUAAUUCCCCUCCCUGAGCCUCAAAUUCUUCACUGUAUAAUGUGGUCGGGAGGUUGAAUCAGAAAACAAAAGUGGUUCUAAAUUUCUAAAAGACUUCUUUUCUCUAUUUCCCUCUUUACCUCUUUCUUCCAAUUAAAAAAGCUUAAGCUGUAAAAUCAUAAUCCAGUCUACCUACUUUCCACAUUUUUUUCUGAGUGUGCUGUGGAGUCGACUCUGACUCCUAGUGAGCCUACCCAGUCUUUAUUGGCUCCAUCCUUUCACCUUCCAGCUCUGUAUUUGACAAUGCUCCACUGCCCUUCACAGGGCUUUCACAAUCAACUUUUUUCAGAAGCGGCUGGCCAGGUCCUUCUUCCUAGUCUGUCUUAGUCUGGAAGCUCUGCUGAAACCUGUCCACCAUGGGUGACCCUGCUGGUGUUUGAAAACCGGCGGCAUAGCUUUCAGCAUCCCAGCAACAUGCAGCUGCCACAGUAAGAUAACUGACAGACAAGUGGCGUGGUUCCCUGACCUGGAAACGAACCCCAGACUGCAGGGUGAGAGCGCUGAAUCUUAACCACUAGAUCACCGGGCUGGCUGCUUCCCAUAUACCCGAGAUUAAUUUAAGCACAUUCUGAGUAACAUGAUAAAGUUAUCUUUAGAAACAUACACACACCAGUUUCAGAAUGGCACCCCCUGGGGUCCCUGCUGCCAAUUUGGUCCAGGAACACAAAGUCAGCAUCUUGAUGUCAGGCAGUGUCCUGGCCAACACCCACUACCCACUGCAGUUGGUGCUUUCUCAGAAGACAACACCUUGCUUUCAAAACUGUCUACUUUUUUGCUCAAAACAAUGAUGGAUGGAUGGAUAGGUCUUCAUUUGACUCACUACCUGAAAAAUCAGCUUCUCAUGUGAUUUCCCCAAAGCAGAAUUAACUCACAUAAUUUUGUGUCACAUACCAGGGCUCUUCCUUGCAUAAAAAACAGUAAGAUAUCACCAAACUCUGGCCUGAAAGUUCUUCUAGGAUAUCUUGUGGUAUCACCAUUCCUAGGUGCAUGGUAGUCAUAAGUGACUUCAUCAGCCAAAUAUGAAACUGGUUCGAUACUGCCCCUGUAGGAGUCAAAUUCUUAUGCAUUUACAACUUAAUAAAUUACCAUUCAGGGUUGUAUUAGCAAGUUUGCUUUGUUCCAGCCCUUUUAUAGUUGAGACUCCCAGAUUUCUGUUUCAGGUUGGAAUUGGCAAAUGAACUUUUCAAAGCAUUUCAUCCUCACAAGUCACAUCUUGUCAUCUUUCAUAUCCACAUGAGACACCAAGCCCUAUUUCACUCUUGUUUAAAUUUUAUUAUCAUUGUUAUUAGGAAUAAACCAAUAGAAAUAGGAUUACAAAGGGAAAGGUUCAGGAUGAAUAACUUCUUCCUUAUAAAUUCAAACACAGGUGCACACACACAUGCUGGUCUGUGUGAGUUACUUCCUCCCCACAUUCUGUCCUCCUGCACAAACAGUUAUACAAAACAGUCCGCACAACAAUGUGAGCAGCUGGUACCACAACCUGAGCAAAGGACCCCAGUUGUGUCAAGUCUCAGGCUGACUCUUGGUCGAGAUGACCAGCUUCUCCACGCUAAGAGUACUUGUGGUUUCAUCCUCUUCAUUUGACCCAAAAUAUCCCGGGAGGUCCAGCAUCCUCUGCUCGGCUUCAGUGAGGCCGAAUGAUGUAUUGUCGUAGAAGGCGAACUCGGGGUGCGCGGGAAGCUCUGGCACUUGUCUUUCCGACAUUGAGAAGGGCUCAGAGGACUGACCCUCUGGUAGCUAUCUUUGGGGGCAGUGGGGAGGGCUGCUUCCUUGAGACACUCCUGUGACUGGGGGACGGUCCCCGCCGAGCUCUGUGAGGCUCUGUUCUCUCGCCUCCUGCCACCAAUCCCGCCUGACGAUCCCCUAGGUCUGGCUUCCUGGUGGGCUGCCCCAAGGUGUAGGAUUUAGGGAGGGGGCUUAGUGGACCAGCGGUUCCACCUGCCCCUUGGAAAUGGUCCAGUUUCUCAGGAAGCGCGGCAGCACCCCGACUCUGAGGCCUGAACCUGUCUUCUGCCUGGUCCCAGGUCCGCGUCCUAGAACUGUAGGCGGGGCCUGCCGUGGGGUCAGGGUGACAUGCUCCUCUCCCUGAAGGGCCGCGCCUGCUUGGUCUCGUGGAAACUGGCUGUCCUCCGGAAGUGGGAACUCCUGGGGUGGCUCCGCUCCGACAGCCCCCCUCUGCUGCCCACGUGCCUCAUCUGGGAUUUGCGGAUCACGGUCUGGCUGGGGCUCACGGCACAAGUGGCCUGCGAGACCCCGACAUCCAGCCUGGAGGGAGGCCUCUCCCCGGCGCUGACCGCGGGCUGGUCCAGAAACGGGGAUUUGAUCCUGAACUUGUUUGCGGCAGCUUCUUCCGGGUUCUCCAAGUCUAAGAGGGCGACGGCGGCGGCGGCGGCGUCGAUGGCCGUGUCUGUCAGGGGGCUCUGAGACACGUGGUACACCUUGGUGGUUUCUGUCAGGCCUUUCUUUUUCAUCUCCUUCAGCUGCUGCUGGGCAAGGCGGUAGCUGAACAGCGGUGGGAUUAUCUUCUGCGCGUUGGACUGGAAGCUGUCACUGCCGGAAGCGUCGUCCUCGGGAGUGGCCGGCACGCUGCGCCUGUAGGUCAGAGGGAUGCCCAUGUCCCCCGGGCCCCCCACAGGCCCGUCACCCCCAUCCGAGAAGCUCCCGCGCUGCUGGCUCAGCUCGCAGAUGUUCUCCUCAUCUGAGUUCUUCCGGAAGCUGGGCGAGUGGAGGGAGUUGUGCCGAGCGGGGUGCUGCACUUGGGGGGCGGCCGAACUUCCUCCACAGCGUGAUGAGGACGGUGGCCACGAUGAUGAACAAGCACAGCGAAAUCCCAGUGACCGUCACGAUGUUGUUGGACUUCACCGGGCCCUGCGGCUGAAGAGGAGACGGGCUGGAUGGCCGGAAAGCUACAAAAAAGGAGAAGGGAGAUUGUUUCCACCCCAAGACUAUCUGAAGGAAUGCAGCCUAUGAAAUAUUCACAUCUGCAAGACAUUUCGCUCAAAAGACUAAGGAGCUGAAGGAGAAGAGGAAGACACCUGGGUUUCUGGUUUGAACAAUGAGAUGGGUGGUGGAGUCCAGCACUGAGGAGCAAGAUUAGGGGGUAAGAUGAUGAAUCCAAUUCCAGGUACAUUGCUUUUGAGGUGCCUGGGAGCCAUCUUAGGGGUGACAGCUAUUCAGCAGCUCUUGGAUGCAGGGGAGAGGCGCCAAUCUGGAGUCGUCGGCCAGGACAGUAAUCACUUAGGAAGUGUGUGAGGAGUAAAACAAUGCAGAAGUCCAACACUGAAGGGAUGAGAGGAGGUGGUGGAACUGGCAGGCAAAGGAGACAGCCACGGAGGUAGGAAGUAAACAAGGUGAGUAUGAGGUCACGGAAUCAAGGUCAAUGAAGAUACGGAGGACUGAAAAGCACCCCCAGAUUUGGGGACCUGGAAGUCGUCUGCUGGCUGCUUUAGUGACACCAUUUUCAAGGGAGGGGUGUGGGUUUCGAGUGGGUUGAAAAGUGAAUGUGAAGUGAAGAAAUGAACCCCAAAGUGUAGGCAACCUUUUCAAGAACCUGGACUAUAAAAGGAAGAGAGAAAGAGGGUCUUACUUGUUGGAGAACCAGGGGUUGAGGGGCGGGGUCUGUUUUGUUUUUAGAUAAGAAAAUUAAGUACAUCUCAAAGUUGAUGGGAAUGAGCCAGUAAAGAGGGACAGUUAAAGACAGGAGAGAGAGAGGAUAACGAUUAACACAAGUUUCCUGAAAUGAGCGGAGAGGCUGGGAUCCACAGUGGAGGGGAGGGUUGACCUUGUACCGGAGGAAUGACACCUCUCCUCCGGUGACAGCAAAGAAGGGGGAGAGGAUGGGACGAUGCCUGUAGGCCUACAGAGAUUUCAGUGGGAGGGCGAGGGAGCUCACACCUGAUGGCUUGCAGCUACUCUGUGUGGUCAGAGGCAAAGUCAGCUCUGAGAGUUAGCCAGGGAGUAGGUGAGGUCCAAAGAGAAAGCAGGAGGGCUAAACGAGCUGUCGUGGGGAACAGGAGCAGAGCCGACCAGGGUGCCUUACUGGGUGGCAUGGUGAACCCAGCGGAGAGGAGAGGCAUGACCCACCCACACUGGCCCCAGUGUGCUUGGGUGUGACCUUCUCGUCCAGCUUGGGUACAGUGGGCGGCUGGCAGAUUGCUGCAUCCAUGCAGAGCUGGGGUGUGGCCUGGCAGGUGCAACGGAAGAACAACAGGGCAGAGGAGUUUACGGUAUUAGUAGGAAAGUGAUUAAAGGGAUGGGCCACAGAAUCUAGGCCAGAUAGAGAGGUAAGUGCAAGCAGGGAAGUGGCCAGUGGGCGGGGACAGAGUCAAAGGAAGGGGACGUCUUCUAAAAAGAGAAUGUGGGUGAAUUUGGAGCAAAAUACACUUGGAGUUACAAAGAUGGCCCAGGUUUGGGCCAUGAGGGGGCACAGGCUCAGUAGGGAUGAAGGUAAGAGCAUAUGUAAGUGACCCAGGCAAUCUCUGCCAGAUUAGCCUCUUGCCAAGACCAGGCCUGCACCCAGCAAAAGGGAAAGAAAGGCAGAGGAACAUGCGGGGUGGAGGGGAUGGUGAUAACCCCCUUUCCUGUGAUUAGCUAGGGCAUUACCCAAAGAAUCCAGAAUUUGAAGAAGUUUAAAAAUCUUGCUCUGUAAUCUCACUAAACAGACUUCAUUCCUCUAAGGAAGGAGAUGUACUCAGCUGAAGGAAGACAGAAGUUACUAAACACGAUUUGGGAUUUAGCUUUGAAUUCUGAUCGUACCUGCCAUGGAUUUGCCCUGUGACAUAAUAAUAUAAUUUUUAAAAUAUAAUGUAAUAAUAGCUAAUGUUUAUUGGUGCUUCCUAUAUGCCAGGCACUAUGCUAAGAACUGUAUCCAUUUCCUUCAUUCAAUUCUCACAACUCUCGGAGGUAGAUACUCUUACUAUGUCCACUUUACUGAUGGGGAAACCGAGACCUAGAGAGGUUACAUGAGUGGCCAGCCAGGUCUGUUUAUCGGGACUCUUGACUUUUUAUAUAAGGAUGAUAAUGCCGUUUGGGACAUUAUGAGGAGUAAACCAUAAAAAUUAUGAUAUAGUUCAUAGAAAAUUAAGUUCACUUAAAUUCAAAAUCAUAAUUUUGAUUGCAUGAAGGCAUCAAUUUGAUUUAAAAAUUUUUUUUUAAAUCUCAAUACCAACCUAUAUUUCUCUGAAUUAGCAUGCACUCCUUCUCCUUUGUGGAAAAAUGGCUUCUGCUGGAAACACCAAAGUCAAAACAGUACUUAUUCCUCCCCAUGUCAAACAAAGUGCAGUUGAAUACUGUUCUCCUCUCUCCCAAGUUCAGGCUGUUUUCAG